This 253-nucleotide ribosomal RNA is filed under the name uncultured bacterium. Its description in RNAcentral is "partial 16S ribosomal RNA". It matches the Rfam family "Bacterial small subunit ribosomal RNA", at positions 524 to 776 of the family's 1533-position model. The record is from RNAcentral.
GACAGAGGCCCCAAGCGUUAGGCGGAAUCACUGGGCUUAAAGCGUGUGUAGGCGGAUCGUUAAGUGUCUUGUGAAAUCCCACGGCUCACCCGUGGAACUGCUGGGCAUACUGGCGAUCUUGGGCCAACUAGGGGCAGUCGGAACAAGCGGUGGAGCGGUGAAAUGCGUAGAUAUCGCUUGGAACGCCGAAGGUGAAAACAGGUCGCUGGGAAUGUGCCGACGCUGAGACACGAAAGCCAGGGGAGCAAACGGG